UAUGAAAAUUUUCAUCCAUUUGUAUCAUUAAAAACUGACAUGGCUAAUGGAAUAACCAGACAUUGAUACAUAGCAUGACAUGUGUACAUCAUGUUGACAUACAAUAAUCAAUUUUUAACAGUAGAAAUAAAUUAAAUUUUUAACA
Non-coding RNA from Gossypium hirsutum (cotton), 145 nucleotides. NCBI's taxonomy places the organism in Eukaryota, Viridiplantae, Streptophyta, Magnoliopsida, Malvales, Malvaceae. The record is from Rfam.